RNAcentral lists this small nucleolar RNA (128 nucleotides) under Octodon degus (degu). RNAcentral describes it as "Small nucleolar RNA SNORA65 (ENSODEG00000024744.1)". Lineage: Eukaryota; Metazoa; Chordata; Mammalia; Rodentia; Octodontidae. The record is from RNAcentral.
CCCAUUAAUUCCCCUAACUAGUUCUUUGUUGACUGGUGCAACCCAGUGGUGAGCUGACACUAAAUCUCAGGUCUGCAAACAGAAUCGUUCUGUCCAUGGAUGGUACCAUGCUGAGAUUUGAAAAGGUG